This 455-nucleotide ribosomal RNA is filed under the name uncultured soil bacterium. RNAcentral's name for it is "bacterial SSU rRNA". It matches the Rfam family "Bacterial small subunit ribosomal RNA", at positions 26 to 521 of the family's 1533-position model. The record is from RNAcentral.
AGAACGAACGCUGGCGGCAUGCCUAAUACAUGCAAGUCGAACGAACACUUCGGUGUUAGUGGCGCACGGGUGCGUAACGCGUGGGAAUCUGCCCUUGGGUUCGGAAUAACAGUUGGAAACGACUGCUAAUACCGGAUGAUGACGAAAGUCCAAAGAUUUAUCGCCCAGGGAUGAGCCCGCGUAGGAUUAGCUAGUUGGUGAGGUAAAGGCUCACCAAGGCGACGAUCCUUAGCUGGUCUGAGAGGAUGAUCAGCCACACUGGGACUGAGACACGGCCCAGACUCCUACGGGAGGCAGCAGUAGGGAAUAUGGACAAUGGGCGCAAGCCUGAUCCAGCAAUGCCGCGUGAGUGAUGAAGGCCUUAGGGUUGUAAAGCUCUUUACCCGAGAUGAUAAUGACAGUAGUCGGGAAGAAGUAAACGCCCCGGACUAACCUCCGUGCCAGCAGCCGACGGU